GAUGAAGAACGCAGCGAAAUGCGAUAAGUAAUGUGAAUUGCAGAAUUCAGUGAAUCAUCGAAUCUUUGAACGCACAUUGCGCCCGCCAGUAUUCUGGCGGGCAUGCCUGUUCGAGCGUCAUUACAACCCUCAGGCCCCCGGGCCUGGCGUUGGGGAUCGGCGGAGCCCCCCGUGGGCACACGCCGUCCCCCAAAUGCAGUGGCGGUCCCGCCGCAGCUUCCAUCGCGUAGUAGCUAAUACCUCGCGACUGGAGAGCGGCGCGGCCACGCCGUAAAACACCCAACUCUUCUGAAGUUGACCUCGAAUCAGGUAGGAAUACCCGCUGAACUUAAGCAUAUCAAUAAGCGGAGGA
This 352-nucleotide unclassified non-coding RNA is filed under the name soil metagenome. RNAcentral's name for it is "partial contains 5.8S ribosomal RNA, internal transcribed spacer 2, and large subunit ribosomal RNA". The stretch from base 1 to 120 matches the Rfam family "5.8S ribosomal RNA", at positions 35 to 154 of the family's 154-position model. The record is from RNAcentral.